RNAcentral lists this long non-coding RNA (2208 nucleotides) under Nicotiana benthamiana. RNAcentral describes it as "long non-coding RNA (NBEN_LNC010653)". Lineage: Eukaryota; Viridiplantae; Streptophyta; Magnoliopsida; Solanales; Solanaceae. The record is from RNAcentral.
CAUGAGAUAUGAGGGUAAUUAACAAACAAUGCACAAUAAUGGUAGUAAGAUUUGAUAUAUGGGAUGUAUAGGUAAAAAUCCCAAAAAAAAACCCUGGGCUAGUCUUCUUCUUCCACUUGGAAAACCUUGAAGACAAGACCUUGAAGACAAUAAGACAAUACAAAGCUAAACCCUAGACAACCAUGGAGAAAAGACAACAUAAACCUUAGCCAGGAAGACCCGCCAGCCAGCCUCCCACGCACACACCCCAUUUCCGGGCAGCAACCUAAUCUCCGGCACAAGAACCAGCGGCGCCGCUCCUCCUCCUCGCUUCUUUUAGCCAUAACAGCCCCCGUCCAACUCUACAGCCACAACAUUUACAUCCAAUUUUGCUUCUUCACCGUCUAUUCACCACGCCAGAGCCACACCAAACGACCCGAACUCCUCCAGCAGCCGUUUCUCACAGCCCAAUUGCUGCCGCCAGCCUUAACCCGCAACGAACCAAGCUAUCAGCGGCCAGCCACCACUGUAAUAUAUCAGAUUCGAUGAAGCGCACUACCAAGAGAUCCUACUGACCAUUCUUGUCAUUCUACAAGGGCAAACAAACGAAACUAGCUGAAAAAAAUUAACUCCAAACCCAUCGCCGGUUGCCGUCCGAGGUUUGAGGUUUGCGGAAUAAUUUCAGAUGUCGGAGUUUCGAGGUCCAUCUCUUCUAUCUCACUCUCUGCUUUAAAUGAAUUAAUGGUUGCUUGAUCGUCUGAUUCAUUAUCCUUAUGCUAUUCAAUUUUAAAAUGAAUUUAUACUUUAGUUGCAAUCCGGUGCUAGUUUCUUUUGUGCAAGUUAUUGCUGGCCAUGAUUUGUUGUUUUUGAAAUGAGAGAUAGGGGUUUAGUUUAUUUAAUUUAACCUUACACUUCAGAGAAGUAUAAGUUCUGAAAUUGAAAUUGGAAGUAUUUGAUAAGGAUUUAAACUUCACAUUUUGAGAAGAAUUUGGUUUAAUCUCAUUUAAGUAGAAGUGGGCCGUGGGUGACUAAAUUAAUGAGAUUUAUAUUUAAGGUGAUUUAUUUUGUUUAUCCAAGUUGAUUCGCUAGGAGCAUGUUUUAGGACGACCACAUUUGGGUAGGUAAUUUUAGGAUUUUCUUUAUUUGUUUGCUUUUAUUUUCAAGGUAAGAGGUCGUUUCCUUAGUUGAAUAUAUAUAUAUAUAUUCGGGGAAUGUCCCGAGGAAUUUGUAUGUAUUUUUAUUCGGGGUAUGUCCCGACGUAUUCUGUAAUUGGAAGCCGUGGCAACAUCAAUGGAAGCGUAGUAUAGGCUAGAAAAACUUAUUUCAUUUUGUUUUAUUUUUCUUUUAUUAGGUGGGGACGACCUCGAACCUCGUGUGUGUUUAUUUUGCUUUUCUGUGUUUUUACCUCAAUUCGAACAUUUUAUAAGCCAACUAGAUAGAGUACGCAAUUGUGAUCUUCACGGGACUUAGGGAGUGCCUAACACCUUCUCCCCGAGUCAAAUGAACCCCCUUGCCUGAAUCUGGUGCGGACUUAUAUUUGAGUCCAAGUAUUUUAAAAGGAAAAUAUUUUCUAAAAACCGGUAGCCUGACACACUGAAAUCAAAUGUCAGGUGGCUACUCUGAGUUAUUUCCUUUUCAAACGAAUUUUUGUCACUUUUCAUAAUUGAAAAACCCUUCUCGAGUUUUACUAAAUUUUUUUAUUAAUUUAAGAGGAUUAAUUAAAGUUUAAAAAAAAAAGGUGUGACAAUACUAAUUGCUUCUUUUUUAUGUUCUAGUUACAAUAAGUACAGCCAAACCUCUCUGUAACAACAUCCCUAUAUAACAACACUUCACUAUAAAAGUCAAGCUUUUUCGGAACCAAUUUUCAAGGUGUGUUAUGACAUAUGUUCUCUAUAAUCAUCCAAAUAUAUUCAAAACAAACGAGGUUAUUAUAGAGAGGUUUAACGGUACUUCUUUUUCCAGAUAGCAUGUGAUGUUUGACUAAACAUUCAUGUUUUUACAUGUUAUUUGCCUUGCAUUAUGCCUCAAUCUUGUUAAUUUAUAUGUGAAUAUUGGCAACUUGAGCUUAAUUAUGGUGCUUAUAUGUGUAGGAAUCAAUCAGAAAUAAUUUGGAAAGAAUGUGCCCGAUUUGAAGCCAAAUCAGAAGAAUUUUGAAAAAUUAUGAAAUGGCGUCCAGAAGGGCGCAAGACACCAUCUAAAGCGCCAAAGGCUGGAGCACAACAAGAAAUU